RNAcentral lists this unclassified non-coding RNA (237 nucleotides) under soil metagenome. RNAcentral describes it as "partial internal transcribed spacer 1". The record is from RNAcentral.
ACGAAAAGCAUGUUUGUCUAUGAACGGGGGGCGGUAGCUCACCGGGAGAGGCAUCCAUCCCAACUUCUCACACCACACCCCCUUUGUGCACGAUCGUGAGCCAUCGCUUGGCCGAUCGCACGUGAAAUCCGUGCGACUGGCCCUGUCAUUGGUCUCGCCUUUCUUUUUAACACGCACCAUAAAGUACAUAUUAGAACAACACUUUCUCGUGUUGAUUUACUUCACACGAAACAAAUA